Molecule: small nucleolar RNA, 107 nt
Organism: Coffea arabica (coffee)
Lineage: Eukaryota; Viridiplantae; Streptophyta; Magnoliopsida; Gentianales; Rubiaceae
Source: RefSeq, a predicted model, not a curated record
AGACCAUGGUGGGGACAUCUUCUUCGAAGAUCUUUAAAUCUCUCCCAAGUUUCAUAUAACGACUCUUCUUCAUGUUGAAUAAAACCUAUGAUAUCUAUACGAAAUUU